RNAcentral lists this transfer RNA (73 nucleotides) under Planctomycetales bacterium. RNAcentral's name for it is "tRNA-Lys". It matches the Rfam family "tRNA". From Rfam's summary of the family: Transfer RNA (tRNA) molecules are approximately 80 nucleotides in length. Their secondary structure includes four short double-helical elements and three loops (D, anti-codon, and T loops). Further hydrogen bonds mediate the characteristic L-shaped molecular structure. tRNAs have two regions of fundamental functional importance: the anti-codon, which is responsible for specific mRNA codon recognition, and the 3' end, to which the tRNAs corresponding amino acid is attached (by aminoacyl-tRNA synthetases). tRNAs cope with the degeneracy of the genetic code in two manners: having more than one tRNA (with a specific anti-codon) for a particular amino acid; and 'wobble' base-pairing, i.e. permitting non-standard base-pairing at the 3rd anti-codon position. Lineage: Bacteria; Pseudomonadati; Planctomycetota; Planctomycetia; Planctomycetales. RNAcentral also lists the same sequence under 1 other name. The record is from RNAcentral.
GCUCCCUUAGCUCAACUGGCAGAGCAACUGACUCUUAAUCAGUAGGUUCAAGGUUCGAGUCCUUGAGGGAGCA